Molecule: ribosomal RNA, 497 nt
Filed under: uncultured bacterium
Lineage: Bacteria
Description: partial 16S ribosomal RNA
Rfam family: Bacterial small subunit ribosomal RNA
Source: RNAcentral
GAUGAACGCUGGCGGCGUGCCUAAUACAUGCAAGUCGAGCGAACGGACGAGAAGCUUGCUUCUCUGAUGUUAUCGGCGGACGGGUGAGUAACACGUGGAUAACCUAACUAUAAGACUGGGAUACCUUCAGGAAACCGGAGCUAAGGCCGGAAGAUAUUUUGACCCUCAUGGUGCAAAAGUUAAAGACGCUCUUUCUGUCACUUAUAGACGGACCAGCCCUGCAUUAGCUAGUGGGUAAGGUAACGGCUUACCAAGGCAACGAUGCAUAGCCGACCUGAGAGGGUGAUCGGCCACACGGGAACUGAGACACGGUCCAGACUCCUACGGGAGGAAGCAGUAGGGAAUCUUCCGCGAUGGGCGAAAGCCUGACGGAGCAACGCCGCGUGAGUGAUGAAGGUCUUAGGAUCGUAAAACUCUGUUAUUAGGGAAGAACAUAUGUGUAAGUAACUGUGAACAUAUUGACGGUACCUAAUCAGAAAGCCCCGGCUAACUACGUG